UAGGGAAUCUUCGGCAAUGGACGAAAGUCUGACCGAGCAACGCCGUGUGAGUGAAGAAGGUUUUCGGAUCGUAAAACUCUGUCGUUAGAGAAGAACAAGGACGUUAGUAACUGAACGUCCCCUGACGGUAUCUAACCAGAAAGCCACGGCUAACUACGUGCCAGCAGCCGCGGUAAUACGUAGGUGGCAAGCAUUGUCCGGAUUUAUUGGGCGUAAAGCGAGCGCAGGCGGUUUCUUAAGUCUGAUGUGAAAGCCCCCGGCUCAACCGGGGAGGGUCAUUGGAAACUGGGAGACUUGAGUGCAGAAGAGGAGAGUGGAAUUCCAUGUGGAGCGGUGAAAUGCGUAGAUAUAUGGAAGAACACCAGUGGCGAAGGCGGCUCUCUGGUAUGUAACUGACGCUGAGGCUCGAAAGCGAGGGGAGCAAACAGG
Molecule: ribosomal RNA, 429 nt
Filed under: Gemmatimonadota bacterium
Lineage: Bacteria; Pseudomonadati; Gemmatimonadota
Description: Gemmatimonadetes bacterium partial 16S ribosomal RNA
Rfam family: Bacterial small subunit ribosomal RNA
Source: RNAcentral